This 253-nucleotide ribosomal RNA is filed under the name uncultured bacterium. RNAcentral describes it as "partial 16S ribosomal RNA". It matches the Rfam family "Bacterial small subunit ribosomal RNA", at positions 524 to 776 of the family's 1533-position model. The record is from RNAcentral.
UACGGGGGGGGCAAGCGUUGUUCGGAAUUACUGGGCGUAAAGGGCUCGUAGGCGGUUCGAUCAGUCAGGGGUGAAAUCCCAGGGCUCAACCCUGGAACUGCCUUUGAUACUGCCGAUCUGGAGUAUGGAAGAGGUGAGUGGAAUUCCGAGUGUAGAGGUGAAAUUCGUAGAUAUUCGGAGGAACACCAGUGGCGAAGGCGGCGCACUGGUCCAUUACUGACGCUGAGGUGCGAAAGCGUGGGGAGCAAACAGG